GUGCUCGCUUCGGCAGCACAUAUACUAAAAUUGGAACGAUACAGAGAAGAUUAGCAUGGCCCCUGAACAAGGAUGACAUGCAAAUUUGUGAUCACAUGAAAAAGAAU
Molecule: small nuclear RNA, 107 nt
Organism: Mesocricetus auratus (golden hamster)
Lineage: Eukaryota; Metazoa; Chordata; Mammalia; Rodentia; Cricetidae
Source: Ensembl